Molecule: non-coding RNA, 2496 nt
Organism: Arvicanthis niloticus (Nile rat)
Lineage: Eukaryota; Metazoa; Chordata; Mammalia; Rodentia; Muridae
Source: RefSeq, a predicted model, not a curated record
GGCAGAGCAGGGCGGUAUAAAUAGGGCGAGGGGGACGGCGGUGGUCCGCCAUUUCGUGAACGCCGCUGGAGCGAGAGCAUCUGUGGGAGCAGAGCCAGAGGGGAGCGGGUGGGCCUGUCGGAGCGUUCGGAUUUGAGCUUGGGCCUUUUGAACCCAGGAUCUCGAGAUGCAUCGUGAUUCCUGUCCCUUGGACUGCAAGGUUUAUGUAGGUAAUCUUGGAAACAAUGGGAACAAGACUGAAUUAGAAAGGGCUUUUGGCUAUUAUGGACCACUCCGAAGUGUGUGGGUUGCUCGAAACCCUCCUGGCUUUGCUUUCGUUGAAUUUGAGGAUCCACGAGAUGCUGCUGAUGCUGUCCGAGAGCUAGAUGGAAGAACACUAUGUGGCUGCCGUGUGAGAGUGGAACUGUCGAAUGGAGAAAAGAGAAGUCGGAAUCGGGGCCCGCCUCCCUCUUGGGGUCGUCGUCCUCGAGAUGAUUACCGCAGGAGGAGCCCUCCACCUCGGCGCAGAGUCACCAUCAUGUCUCUUCUCACCACCCUCUGAAUCUGCAUUAGCCAGUCAACUAGCCCUUUCAGCGUCAUGUGACCAGCGCGCCCCAUUCAGCUUGGCUGGUGUCGUUUCACAUGACCCAGGCUGGCCAGUCGUCAGGUUGCACCGCCCUUUGGUUCCCGAGCAUGCUGUUUUCUCUCAGCCUUCUCUCCAACCUUAACCAAAUCGGCUGCAGCCACCUCGACCGCCCACACAUUCCUGGCCAAUCAGCUCAGCUGUUUAUUUACCAAAUGUCUUCACAACAACUACAGCAGCAGCCUUCGGCUAACAAAAAAGCAGGAAAAAUCCACAACACCCCCUUCGCCAACCAACUAAAUCCAACGCAACAUCUGGCAAAACCUUUUCAGCAAAUUCUUCCUGGCCGUCAGUCCGGCAGCCUCACCUCACCAUUUCUAGCUUGUUGAAACCCAAAACUAAUCCCCAAGAAGAAGAAGCUUUUCCCGAAGCCGGAGCAGGUCACUUUCUAGAGAUAGGAGAAGAGAAAGGUCUCUGUCUCGCGAGAGAAAUCACAAGCCGUCUCGCUCCUUCUCCAGGUCUCGUAGCCGAUCUAGGUCAAAUGAAAGGAAAUAGAAGACCAGUUUGCAAAAGUGGUGUACAGGAAAUAACUUCAUUUGACAGGAGUAUGUACAGGAAAUUAAAGUUUUGUUUGAGACUUCAUAAGCUUGGUGCAUUUUUAAGAUGUUUUAGCUGUUCAAAUUUGUUUUGUCUCUUGGAACAGUGACACGCAAAACGAUGUAAUUCUCUAUGGUUUCAAAUGGAUCAUAUGAGGCAUGUGAUAUCAAGAAUUGUUACUUUACAAUGUUCCCUUAAGCAAGAUUGAAUUUUCUUUGAAUUUUAGUUUUUUAUAGACUGAAAUAAACCUAGAUCCUGCCCAGUUUUAAGUGAGAUGUACUAAUGAUACAGAAGCAACUGGCGGAAAUUGAAUAAAGCUGUAGUCCUCAUAGCUGAGACUGUGGCACUGUGGAAUGAUAAGCAGUCUUUAGAAGCUGCUGUAAAUAUAAGCCGGCAGAUAAAGGUAGGAACCACGCUCUGAAGGUUUUCAAAGCGGUUCCUUCCUGGUUGCUACAUGCAGAUGCAGAGCUGUCGAAACGUCUUUAUUUGGAAAUGUAAAACUAAGAUACCAGGGUCCUAUCAGUUUAAGGGUACAUUGUAGAGCUGAACUUUUCAGUUACUGUGCAAGAUUUUUUUUUUCAUGCUGUCAUUUGUAAUAUGUUUGUGAGAAUCCUUGGGAUUAAAGUUUUGGUUACAAAUUGUUGUUUAACUUGAAAGCCUGUUUUUCCUUGCACACUCAAAUCUGUGAGCUUGGUAUCAAGUCCAGGUGUAACAUUCCUAUUGGAAGCCAUACUUAUAUUUUCUUGUAAAGUGCUUUUGAAUUAAUAAAAUACUAGCAUAAUUGUGUAGUCAGUUGAGCGAACCCACUGUUGCCAUUGUUCUUAUCCCUGGGAAAGCGGUUGGUUGGUUGCCCAGUUCGAUGAUCUUUGUAAGAAACAACCAAGAGGCACUACAUUAGGGAAGGAAUUUUUCCCCCUUUGCUUGUCACCUUGUUAGCCAUUUUUUAGGUGUUGAAGUCAGUUCAGGAUCAUGGCAGUUAGUGAGUAACAUUUUAAAUUAAGCACCAGUAUGGUAUAUUGUAAUUCUUUAAGUUGCCCAUAAAACGUGUCUUUGAUCUUCAGCAUGAAAACAUUCAACAAAAGUUUUAAAAUUAAUUUUAUUUUACAACUUGAGGUGUUGCAUGGAAUUCCAGAUUGAUCCAUCGUGAUGUGAAGUCCACAGAAUGGUUAAUUGUAACGACGCACAGUUGACUAUGGAGGCAUGCACACCCUUUCUCUCAAGAACAGUUGACUAUGGAGGCAUGCAUACCCUUUCUCUCAGAAAUAUGGAGGAGGUGUGGUUUCAGGGUUUUUUGUGUGUGUGUGUGUGCAAUUAGAUUAAAUCAUAAUGCAACAGUC